GGGGCAGAGCGGGGCGGGCACGGGGCGGGCACGGGGCCAUCCGUUGCGGACCAUCGCGCGCAGCCGUGGCCGAUCUGGGAGCACGGGCAGGUGCGGCGCGUGGCUGAGGGGGUCGGUACCGUGGUGGGAGCCCCGCCUAAACCUCCUGCAGCACUUGAAGCCUGGUGAAACUGUGUGAUGGCAGCUCCGAUGACAGAUGCUCAUCGACGGUUCUUGCAGAUUCUGAUGUCUAAUGGGGUAACAGAAGGAUCAGAGGCCAGGAAAUUACAUCAGCACUGCUGUGAAAUGGAUAAAGUUUACUAUGCACACGAUAAACUGGAUGAUUUCAUCAGCACCAUUAACAGCCACCUGCAGCCUUUGUUCAUGCAGAUCCGGAAGGGGUUCUCGGAGGACGAUGGCAGAGCACAUUAUGCUGUGGUAGGUCCCUGCUGGGCUGUUUGUGUGGGGCUGCCAGUGGCUGCAGGAGCUGCUGGAGGAUAAACUGUCACAGCCCAGGUGUGUGGGAAAAAGACAUGGCAGCAAGGAGGACAGCAGUGUUGGAGUUACUUAGCAUAAACAUUGCUUAAGUGCUGAAGUGAGAUUCCUUUGCCACAGGAGACUUUCUUACCUGAGACAGACUUUUUAAACUAGAAAACAGAGAGAGCUGUCCAGCAUCAGUUUUCUUUUUCUCCCACUCAAAAACCAGCUGAGCA
Molecule: long non-coding RNA, 692 nt
Organism: Oenanthe melanoleuca
Lineage: Eukaryota; Metazoa; Chordata; Aves; Passeriformes; Muscicapidae
Exons: 3
Source: RefSeq, a predicted model, not a curated record